RNAcentral lists this long non-coding RNA (399 nucleotides) under Calidris pugnax (ruff). RNAcentral describes it as "lncRNA (ENSCPUG00000002613.1)". Lineage: Eukaryota; Metazoa; Chordata; Aves; Charadriiformes; Scolopacidae. The record is from RNAcentral.
AUGCAGCUGCACCAAGCCAGAGUUCAUCGUAUACUGGACACCUCUGCAGCUAUGGAUCCAUUUCUCUGUGUUUGUGGAAAUCCACAUUUGGCAUUUUCAGAGAUGCCUGAGCCAAGCUUAAACCUCAGUGUUUGGAUAUGGGGUGAUGGUAGACACAUGUUCCACAGGUUUUAUUGCAUCAUGGGACCUGAUCAACUGACAAGCAGAGCUAAUGAAAGCCUAUCACCAGAAGUAUACAGCAUUUCCCUUCGAAGGGGAUCUCAUUCUCACCAAAGAACUCACAAGCAAAAUGACAGUGGAAUAUGUUGGGACAGAAAUAUUCACGUCUCUUUACACUGUCCUGCCAGAGGUGGCUUUUAUAUGCUGGAUUUAACUUUCACAUUAUCCGAUGUAAUUUAA